CCCCACCUACGGGGGGCAGCAGUAGGGAAUCUUCCACAAUGGACGAAAGUCUGAUGGAGCAACGCCGCGUGAGUGAAGAAGGGUUUCGGCUCGUAAAGCUCUGUUGGUAGUGAAGAAAGAUAGAGGUAGUAACUGGCCUUUAUUUGACGGUAAUUACUUAGAAAGUCACGGCUAACUACGUGCCAGCAGCCGCGGGAAUACGUAGGAGGCAAGCGUUGUCCGGAUUUAUUGGGCGUCAAGCGAGU
RNAcentral lists this ribosomal RNA (245 nucleotides) under uncultured bacterium. Its description in RNAcentral is "partial 16S ribosomal RNA". It matches the Rfam family "Bacterial small subunit ribosomal RNA", at positions 333 to 570 of the family's 1533-position model. The record is from RNAcentral.